RNAcentral lists this ribosomal RNA (253 nucleotides) under uncultured bacterium. RNAcentral describes it as "partial 16S ribosomal RNA". It matches the Rfam family "Bacterial small subunit ribosomal RNA", at positions 524 to 776 of the family's 1533-position model. The record is from RNAcentral.
UACGAAGGGGGCGAGCGUUGUUCGGAUUUACUGGGCGUAAAGGGCGCGCAGGCGGCUAUCCAAGUCAGGCGUGAAAGCCCCGGGCUUAACCUGGGAGGUGCGUCUGGGACUGGGUGGCUAGAGUUCGGGAGAGGAGAGUGGAAUUCCCAGUGUAGCGGUGAAAUGCGUAGAGAUCCGGAGGAACCCCAGAGGCGAAGGCGGCGCCCUGGCUCGCAACUGACGCUCAGACACGACAGCAUGGGGAGCGAACGGG